RNAcentral lists this ribosomal RNA (434 nucleotides) under uncultured bacterium. RNAcentral describes it as "bacterial SSU rRNA". It matches the Rfam family "Bacterial small subunit ribosomal RNA", at positions 28 to 462 of the family's 1533-position model. The record is from RNAcentral.
GACGAACGCUGGCGGCGUGCUUAACACAUGCAAGUCGAGCGGUAAGGCCCUUUCGGGGGUACACGAGCGGCGAACGGGUGAGUAACACGUGGGUGACCUGCCCUCAGCUCUGGGAUAAGCCUGGGAAACCGGGUCUAAUACCGGAUAUGACUCCAUGACGCAUGUUGUGGGGUGGAAAGCCUUGUGCGGCUGAGGAUGGGCCCGCGGCCUAUCAGCUUGUUGGUGGGGNGAUGGCCUACCAAGGCGACGACGGGUAGCGGGCGUGAGAGCGUGACCCGGCACAUCGGAACUGAGAUACGGUCCGGACACCUACGGGUGGCUGCAGCAACGAAUAUUCCGCAAUGGACGAAAGUCUGACGGAGCGACGCCGCGUGCAGGAUGAAGUCCCUCGGGGAUGUAAACUGCUGUCAGGGGUGAGGGAAUAAGUUGACCAA